CAUAGAGGCUAAGCUCCUCCCCAAGACCAACCAACUGCUAACUGAAAUGAAUCAGCUUUCACUGAACCCCCAUACAUCUUUUAAUGGCAGGUCUCAGCCAAACAUAUUAUAAUUUAAUAAACCACUGUUUAAAAAUAAUAUACAUCAUAAACUGCCACUUUGUACCAAUUCUACCUGAAAAUGGAAGAAUCACCCAUGCUCUAGGUCCACAUGGUACAAUCCGUGAUUAGCCCUCAGGUGUGUGACCACUGACAGGCCCAUCUUCAGCUCUGGUCCAGACCAGAGAACCUCUCUACCUGCUCAAACACUGGAGGGAAACAACUCAGAGAGGGAAUAAAGGCUGACAGGACAGACUUCACCUGCACCACCUCACAGCAGACACACAGAUCUCUCAGCCACGGUUGGAGGGAAUUUCCUUGGACACUGACUUCAUUCCGGCUGGAGAGAUGACGACUAAGGCUUUGCAACUCUACCAGUCCUGGGUGAAGAGUUUCUGUGACACUGAACAGAGUGCUGACUCUCUCAACAAUGUGAAUGAAACCAUAUUACAGCACCUUUUAUCACCUGAAGAACAUCCAAUUCCUAAAAUGAAACAGUUUUCUUGGGUGUCUACAGUGAUUGACAUCAUUCGCAAAUAUGCUUCAUUCAUUGAAAAAUUUCCCAACUUUUUAAAAAAGAUGACAAAGAUUGUAGAAGAGUCUAAGAGCACUGCUGAUUCAGUUCAAAAGAUCUUGGAGUCCAAAAGCACCGAUUCAAAAGCAGAGGCUGUAUUCGGAGGAAUAGGAAUAUUAGCCGGGCUCAUUGGAGCGCCGUUCACUGGGGGGAGCAGCUUAGGUUUAACAGCAGGUGGAGUUGGUUUACUCUUAAAAGCUGGUCAUGUGUCUGCAUCCACAAGAUGGAUGGACACAUUUGGCAAACAAACUGCAGAGAAAUUAAUGCAACUUGGGAAAGAAGUCUUGCAGAUUGUUGAGCCCAUGAAGAAUCUCCUGGAUGAGAUUCUAGUGCAGGCUGGAAAUAUUCAGACAGGCAGAACUCCUGAACUGGUGGAACUGAUUGAGGCAGCUUUGUCUGCAGUUGCAGAACAGAUCAAAGCAAUAACUAACAUUGUCAAGUUUACUGAGGGAGUUGUUGGUGGCACUGAGGCCUCAGAUGUAGGCCAAGCGUUAAUAAACCGCAUCAAAGAGGCACCCGACCAUUUCCAGAAGGUCCUUAAGGAGUUUGAAAACAUAAACACGAAACUUAGUACUAUUGUGUGAAAACUGUACGAUGCUGCAGUGUGUAAAAAAAAAAAAAAAAAAAAAAGGCCUUCUUGCAAUAACUUCUUCCUAAAAUUGCAGUUUGAGACCAAGUUUAGAAUUCAGGGCACAAAUGAUCCUCUGAUGAGGACUUUGGAAAUACGAUAUUUAAUCUGUAUCGGAAAACUUUUCUUUUCCGUGCCUGGUUAUGAUUUUGUCAAACAAUAACUGUAUGAACAAUAUUUUUUUCAUGAAAUGUUUGUCACGAAUACUGAUUGAUUUCUUCAGUUUAAUCUUUUUUUGAUGAUUGAUAAAUGCUUUAAUUAAUUUUUCUGUUUAAUUUUGCAUGUAUUGUAGAAAUAUUGGUUCUACUAUUCUGUUGAUUUCUUUAACCAAAACAAUUCUUUAUUCUUUAUAAUUUCAUUACAUGUUUUAAAAUGAAUCUUUGAUAUGUUUGGAUGUAUAUUUUCUGUUUCGGUAACUUGUCUGCGUUAAUAAAUGUGACAAUGUAUAAGGACAUUUGUGUCAAUACAUACUUUCAAUAUAAAGUGUAUCAACAAUACCAACAAUACCUCGGUUAAGCCAUGGUCACCUAACACACACAUAUAUA
Molecule: RNA transcript, 1845 nt
Organism: Centropristis striata (black sea bass)
Lineage: Eukaryota; Metazoa; Chordata; Actinopteri; Perciformes; Serranidae
Gene name: apolipoprotein L3-like
Exons: 3
Source: RefSeq, a predicted model, not a curated record